CGCGUGAGGAACCUGCCUCAAAGAGGGGGACAACAGUUGGAAACGACUGCUAAUACCGCAUAAGCCCACGGCUCGGCAUCGAGCAGAGGGAAAAGGAGCAAUCCGCUUUGAGAUGGCCUCGCGUCCGAUUAGCUAGUUGGUGAGGUAAUGGCCCACCAAGGCGACGAUCGGUAGCCGGACUGAGAGGUUGAACGGCCACAUUGGGACUGAGACACGGCCCAGACUCCUACGGGAGGCAGCAGUGGGGAAUAUUGCACAAUGGGGGAAACCCUGAUGCAGCGACGCCGCGUGGAGGAAGAAGGUCUUCGGAUUGUAAACUCCUGUUGUUGAGGAAGAUAAUGACGGUACUCGACAAGGAAGUGACGGCUAACUACGUGCCAGCAGCCGCGG
RNAcentral lists this ribosomal RNA (390 nucleotides) under uncultured bacterium. Its description in RNAcentral is "bacterial SSU rRNA". It matches the Rfam family "Bacterial small subunit ribosomal RNA", at positions 114 to 520 of the family's 1533-position model. The record is from RNAcentral.